GACGAACGCUGGCGGUGUGCUUAACACAUGCAAGUCGAACGGUAAGGCCCUUUCGGGGGUACACGAGUGGCGAACGGGUGAGUAACACGUGAGUAACCUGCCCUCAUCUCUGGGAUAACAGUCGGAAACGGUUGCUAAUACUGGAUAUGAGCUUGCAAGGCAUCUUGUGGGUUGGAAAGAUUUUUUUGGUUGGGGAUGGACUCGCGGCCUAUCAGCUUGUUGGUGAGGUAGUGGCUCACCAAGGCUUCGACGGGUAGCCGGCCUGAGAGGGCGACCGGCCACAUUGGGACUGAGAUACGGCCCAAACUCCUACGGGAGGCAGCAGUGGGGAAGAUUGCACAAUGGACGGAAGUCUGAUGCAGCAACGCCGCGGGCGGGAGGACGGCCUUCGGGUUGGAAACCGCUUUCAAUUGUGACGAAGCUUUUUGUGACGGUAGCAGUAGAAGAAGCACCGGCUAACUACGUG
Molecule: ribosomal RNA, 466 nt
Filed under: uncultured bacterium
Lineage: Bacteria
Description: partial 16S ribosomal RNA
Rfam family: Bacterial small subunit ribosomal RNA
Source: RNAcentral